Molecule: long non-coding RNA, 290 nt
Organism: Dreissena polymorpha
Lineage: Eukaryota; Metazoa; Mollusca; Bivalvia; Myida; Dreissenidae
Exons: 2
Source: RefSeq, a predicted model, not a curated record
UAGCCGAAAAGAACGCUGGGAACAAGAAUGCCUACCUAGAUCUGUGAAGAACAAGUGUUGUAUUAUUGUUACUGUUACUUUUAUCUGUUUGUAUCCUGUCGAAGGCACCAUGAUCGAUGGGAUCUUCAUCUACCUAUGUGUAUAGAUAACAUUGUAGUAAUGUUAUUUCACUACACUUUAUUUUGCAUACAAAUGGGCGCCAUUGUUAUGAUCUUUGUCACGCCGAAUUUUGCAUCAACAUCGGUGUUAUUAUAAAUAGAUCUAUAAAAAAUUAAAUUAUUUAAUAAGUU